RNAcentral lists this ribosomal RNA (495 nucleotides) under uncultured bacterium. RNAcentral describes it as "SSU rRNA". It matches the Rfam family "Bacterial small subunit ribosomal RNA", at positions 26 to 521 of the family's 1533-position model. The record is from RNAcentral.
AGGACGAACGCUGGCGGCGUGCUUAACACAUGCAAGUGGAGCGACGAACCAGGGCUUGCCCUGGGGCAGAGCCGCGAACGGGUGAGUAACACGUGGGUUACCUGCCUCGAUGACCGGGACAACCCGAGGAAAACUCGGGCUAAUACCGGAUGUGCCCGCAAGGGGAAAGGAAGCUUCGGCCUCCGCAUUGAGAUGGGCCCGCGGCCCAUUAGCUUGUUGGUGAGGUAACGGCUCACCAAGGCUUCGAUGGGUAGCUGGUCUGAGAGGACGAUCAGCCACACUGGGACUGAGACACGGCCCAGACUCCUACGGGAGGCAGCAGUGGGGAAUCUUGCGCAAUGCGCGAAAGCGUGACGCAGCAACGCCGCGUGGGGGAAGAAGGCUUUCGGGUGUAAACCCUUUCAGUUGGGACGAAGCUUCUCCGGUGAAUAGCCGGAUGGAGUGACGGUACCUUCACAAGAAGCACCGGCUAACGUACGUGCCAGCAGCCGCGGU